Ictalurus punctatus (channel catfish) is the source of this 840-nucleotide long non-coding RNA. Lineage: Eukaryota; Metazoa; Chordata; Actinopteri; Siluriformes; Ictaluridae. The record is from Ensembl.
AUUUGUAACCUGUAAUACACCAAAUCCUGUCACAAAAAGUACAUUAUUACAAUAUUGGAUUUUGUCACGAUCUCGCUGGCAGAUGGCGCUGUGGCGGCGAUGUUCACGGAAAGCCGGAGGGCGCGUGCGUGUACGAACCAGAGCGAGCACAUGCUCGCGGGUUACAUAGGAACCAUGGAGACUUUGUUUACAAUGGCCAUGGGCGUUUGCUUCUGUUUUGUCUCCGCCUUGUUUAGUUAUUGGUGGAUAUUCGAGGGCGCGUCUCGGUUGUUACCAGCUGUCAGCGUUUAAGGCUGUCUCCAGACUAUCAGCGUAAGCUGAGAGAAUCCCUCACUCACAGGGAGGUGUAGAUGUAGACGAAUAUGAUGACGAGGAGAUUCAGGACGGUGCAAGCGAUCCCAAGGAACGCCAGGAUGGACUCUUCUCGGCUCUCGCUCUUCUGUUUCGGUGGCUCAUCGUGACCCACGGCAUGAUUUAGCAUGUUCCUGUGACGAGGAGUGAACAAUCGCCUCCUAAAGCCUCUCUGCAGAAGAGUAACACUGAGUAUCAUAACUGUCGAAUUCGCGUUAAUGUGUGAUACUAAUAAUAACACCACAUACUCUACAUGCACACAUAUUAUAUCUACUAUACUACAGGUAGAGUACUGUAACGCUCUAUACAUUAUAUCUACUAUACUACAGGUAGAGUACUGUAACACUCUAUACACACAUCUACUAUACUACAGGUAGAGUACUGUAACACUCUAUACACACAUCUACUAUACUACAGGUAGAGUACUGUAACGCUCUAUACAUUAUAUCUACUAUACUACAGGUAGAGUACUGUAACACUCUAUACACA